Molecule: long non-coding RNA, 1133 nt
Organism: Pogoniulus pusillus (Red-fronted tinkerbird)
Lineage: Eukaryota; Metazoa; Chordata; Aves; Piciformes; Lybiidae
Exons: 3
Source: RefSeq, a predicted model, not a curated record
UUCCUCCUUACUUUCUUCCCCAGCUGAAAAGAAAACCUGAGUGGGCCAGUUCUGCUCCUCCAGUAUUUAAACACCUCACCAGGUCCCUAGUUAGCAGCUUCCUUCAGCUCAUCCAAGAAGCUGACAAGUACUGUUAGAGGAGGCUGUACAUGUUGCUCUAAUGGACCUCAUUAAGUUCUACUUACAGAUGUUCUCUUAACAUAAUUGAUCUGCGAUGAAAACUUUAAGGAACAAUGAAGGAGAGAGGUACUGCUCUGAAACGGAGUGAAACGUGGAGCUGCAGUGAGCUGUUUGCUGGAGAUUUGAAAGCUACAGCAGAAAAAGCCCAAGGCCAUCAGACAAACAAAGUUUGGGAGAGCACGCAUGCAUCCUGAAUCUGGUACCACCUCCCAGCCGCUCCAGCCGGCGGUCCCCUGCCUCUACCCGCUCCCUGGCCUGCCACAGCUAACGGUCCCCAUGUCACGCAUAGGCUUCUGUGGCAGGCGUUGGUGUGCUGAGCGCUGUGCCUUGUGUUCAGCACUCACACCGUGCUUCUCGGGGCCAUUUUGCAGGGACCCUUUCCUCCUCCCAGCCUGCCAGAAUGAAUCCCCUCUGGUGGGAGGACCGGUGAAAAGAUUCAGUGGCUCGCUGGCUUGUUUUCACUGCUACGUAGGAUAAGGAAGACAGGCAACAUAGUGGUGUUGGUGAUACAGGCUGUUGUCAGUAAAACACAAGCAGACCCUUCAGACAUCUGGAUGUGCCUAAUCCUCCAGCUUCAAGGGGACCUGCUUGCAGGAACCAAGGCAGCAGCUUGGCCACGGCGCUUGACGAGCGAGUGGCGUCGGUGGGAUUUUGAGUUGUGAAAACGCUACUGUAGCAGCCGUAUUGAUUUUGGGGUCCAGUCCUACUCGUCCUGAGGUAAGCAAUCCUCCUUCACUCAGCACUCAGAGUGAGGUCAGUGGGACUGGUUGUCCAAACGAGAAUUACUCACACAAGCAAGGGUUGCAAGGCAGCAACAUGAAAUCAAUACGGCAGUGGCAUUUCCUCACGCUGGCGGCCGAGCCAAUGGAUUUUACACACCUCUCACCUUUACUCUUCCAAGUAAGGGCUAGAGAGAGGAACUACCUGCAGAAAUAAACAGUUGUGGAAAGCAA